Molecule: transfer RNA, 77 nt
Filed under: Salmonella enterica
Lineage: Bacteria; Pseudomonadati; Pseudomonadota; Gammaproteobacteria; Enterobacterales; Enterobacteriaceae
Also listed under: 9 other names
Description: tRNA-Arg
Rfam family: tRNA
About the family: Transfer RNA (tRNA) molecules are approximately 80 nucleotides in length. Their secondary structure includes four short double-helical elements and three loops (D, anti-codon, and T loops).
Source: RNAcentral
GCGUCCUUAGCUCAGUUGGAUAGAGCAACGGCCUUCUAAGCCGUGGGUCGCAGGUUCGAAUCCUGCAGGGCGCGCCA